Molecule: long non-coding RNA, 350 nt
Organism: Syngnathoides biaculeatus (alligator pipefish)
Lineage: Eukaryota; Metazoa; Chordata; Actinopteri; Syngnathiformes; Syngnathidae
Exons: 3
Source: RefSeq, a predicted model, not a curated record
CCAUAAUUGAAGCCUGACUUUGAAUGAAAGUCGUUGUCUUCAAAUGUCCACGAAUCAGCAGAUGUGAUAAAAUGUUGUCACCAGGUGUGAGUCAAGACCAUCAAUUCCUCUGGCCGCAAGGGGGCCUUCGAGCGGAAAAGUUGACUCACCUUACAGUGAUGCUGAAGCUGGACGAAGCCAUCAUAGCCGUACCUCUGAAAUGCAUACACACUAUUGGAGUUUUCAGAACAUUUUAGCUACUAAUUUGGAAUAUGAAAUCAUUUCCAGUAUAUUUUCACAUGUGUUCCUUUGCAUGCAGCAGCCUCAAUUAAUUACAUAGUAUAUUACAUGCAAAAAAACAAAAACAAACA